RNAcentral lists this ribosomal RNA (505 nucleotides) under uncultured bacterium. RNAcentral describes it as "bacterial SSU rRNA". It matches the Rfam family "Bacterial small subunit ribosomal RNA", at positions 1006 to 1509 of the family's 1533-position model. The record is from RNAcentral.
CACAUUCCAUCAGUUCGGCUGGAUCAGUGACAGGUGCUGCAUGGCUGUCGUCAGCUCGUGUCGUGAGAUGUUGGGUUAAGUCCCGCAACGAGCGCAACCCUCAUCCUCAGUUGCCAUCAUUUAGUUGGGCACUCCGAGGAAACUGCCGGUGAUAAGCCGGAGGAAGGUGGGGAUGACGUCAAGUCCUCAUGGCCCUUACGCGCUGGGCUACACACGUGCUACAAUGGCAACUACAGUGGGCAGCGACCUCGCGAGGGGUAGCUAAUCUCCAAAAAGUUGUCUCAGUUCGGAUUGUUCUCUGCAACUCGAGAGCAUGAAGGCGGAAUCGCUAGUAAUCGCGGAUCAGCAUGCCGCGGUGAAUACGUUCCCAGGCCUUGUACACACCGCCCGUCACACCAUGGGAGUUGGUUUCACCCGAAGGCAGUGCUCUAACCCGCAAGGGAGGAAGCUGACCACGGUGGGAUCAGCGACUGGGGUGAAGUCGUAACAAGGUAAGCGUAGUGCU